Molecule: ribosomal RNA, 767 nt
Filed under: uncultured Bacteroidota bacterium
Lineage: Bacteria; Pseudomonadati; Bacteroidota
Description: bacterial SSU rRNA
Rfam family: Bacterial small subunit ribosomal RNA
Source: RNAcentral
UGUAGCAAUACAUAGUGGCGCACGGGUGCGUAACACGUAUGCAACCUACCUUAUACUGGGGGAUAGCCUUUGGAAACGGAGAUUAAUACCCCAUAGUACAUUUGAUUGGCAUCAAUUAAAUGUUAAAGAUUUAUCGGUAUAAGCUGGGCAUGCGUCCAAUUAGUUAGUUGGUGAGGUAACGGCUCACCAAGACUUUGAUUGGUAGGGGAACUGAGAGGUUAAUCCCCCACACUGGCACUGAGAUACGGGCCAGACUCCUACGGGAGGCAGCAGUAGGGAAUAUUGGGCAAUGGAGGCAACUCUGACCCAGCCAUGCCGCGUGCAGGAAGAAGGCGUUAUGCGUUGUAAACUGCUUUUAUAUAGGAAGAAAUAGUCCUUGCGAGGAAAGUUGACGGUACUAUAUGAAUAAGCACCGGCUAACUCCGUGCCAGCAGCCGCGGUAAUACGGAGGGUGCAAGCGUUGUCCGGAUUUAUUGGGUUUAAAGGGUGCGUAGGCGGUUUAUUAAGUCAGUGGUGAAAGACGGUCGCUCAACGAUUGCAGUGCCAUUGAUACUGGUAGACUUGAGUGGGAUUGAGGUAGCUGGAAUGGAUAGUGUAGCGGUGAAAUGCAUAGAUAUUAUCCAGAACACCAAUUGCGUAGGCAAGUUACUAAGUCUCAACUGACGCUGAGGCACGAAAGUGUGGGUAUCAAACAGGAUUAGAUACCCUGGUAGUCCACACUGUAAACGAUGAUAACUAACUGUUGGCUUUCGAGUCAGUGGUACAGA